Long non-coding RNA from Myiozetetes cayanensis, 4250 nucleotides. RefSeq lists it as uncharacterized. Lineage: Eukaryota; Metazoa; Chordata; Aves; Passeriformes; Tyrannidae. The transcript has 3 exons. The record is from RefSeq and is a predicted model, not a curated record.
AGGUCCACAGUAUAUCCUUGAAUGCUCUUCUGCUCUCCAGCUGCUGUUUCUGCAAGGACCAGUCUCCUGAGGCUCUGCACUGUGUCUGGCUGCUCACAGGAGAAAGAAUCUCAUCUGUUUGUGGGUUCAGAUGCUCAGGACAAGCUAUAUUCAUUAGCCCUGGCAGGUGUGUAAUGCUUUCCUGACCACAAACGUCAUUCAGAAGGAAAACAGAAGUUUAAAAACCUGACAUCACUCUGAAGUUCGUUCAUGGUGUGGGUGUAAACCAGACCCAGCUUUAACAACACAGCACACUUUCUGCUGUGGCUGCCUCUCUUACUGAGCUGUUAAAACCAGCAACAGUCAAGCAAACAGAACAAGACUGGGAAUGCUAAACAUGGCACCCUCAAAAUCAUAUGAGCAAAGCAGCGAAAGAACUUAUUUACCCUCACACCCUGAGAACAACCUACUAGCGCAGGUGAUGGAUGAUGAAGGAUGGGGUGGGCCUGGAGCUUGCUGGAGAGUCUGGGAAGGACUAAGGCUGCUUGGCUGGAUGAGCUUGCUGCCGGGUGUGUGCUGCAGGGGGUGGCCUCCUUCCUUCCCCAUUUCCUGCAAGGGAAGGUAGGAUGCUGGGUAAGGAUGUAAGAGGGGAGAAGGAACAUGUUAGUGAGCAUCUUCCAAAGACAUAUUUCAUUUGCUUCGAAGAUCUGUUCUCUCUUUUCUGUUAAGGAUAUGGAAAUUGACUGCAUUGUGGGCUGCAGUCAUGUGGAUGUUGGGUUUUCUGUUAUGACUAAGGAUUCAAUACUGUGUAGCACCCUAUAAUGUGGUCUGAUAGGACAUCUUCAGUUUACCACUGUAGACAAGUUUCUUUGAUUGCUUUGUGACUGGUGCAAUUGGAAACAUAUUCCAAACACAAUGAUGGGAAGAAAGGGAGGCCUAUAUUUCCCUUCAGUGCUCUCCAUGUGAUCUAUCUGGAUAGUGUACCCAUGCAGUUUUCUGUGGUUCUUUUGCAUACAGCUACCCCCGAGUGAAGUAAAAGUCUCUCUGCUUUCUUGACAUAAUAGGAGCUAUUUCUUCAAGGCAUGGGGCUUUCCAGGUUAGUAACAAAACUAUUAUUGUGUUUCUUAAAGGUAGAGCUUCUACAAGAGUAGUUCAUAAACAACAGUGUCAUGGGAUGUUUUCAGAGCAACUGAAGGUCUGCUUCACUUCCACAGAGAUCAUGAAAGUCUUGCUGUUAACAAUACCCUGCUUCACCUCCACUUGUUAUUCCAGCAGAAGAGACAUCUCUCAUGGUCCUGUGUCACAUCUGCAAGCCCUUUGGGCUGCUGAUCCCUGUCCUUUGUGAAGCUGUGCCAGGCACUGAUUUAUCAGUGAUCCAGCAAAAUGCUGCAUCCUGCCUUAAAAUUCCUGAAGACAGAAAAUUAAUUCAUAAGCUUUGGUCUGCAGGUGUCAACACACAAACCUGCCUGUACAGGUGGGAGAGUUCAGUCCUGUCCAUCAGUUGCAUUCCGUGCUUUCAAAGACCUGUGUCAGCAUUUUUCAAGCCUGUACACACUUGAAUUGGAACAUGAAGAAAACAUUCACAAAACUCAAGUAAAUGAACUGGUGAAAAAGUCUUGAAAGAGCAAAGUGGAGAUCCAGCAAAUGUGUAUGUCUGAUCCAUUCUACCCUUUCCAUACACUACUGAUAUGACAUUCUGAAAGUCUUCUGAGCAAAGACACACCUGUGGUGUCCAAACCAGGUGAGAUCUGGCAGGUUGGCAUCCUGGGGGCCCAUGUACCGCACCACUGUAACGUGCGCUGCCCUUCAGCAGCAGAUUUUGUAUUAGCUUUGAGACAAACUGCAAACUACAAAAAAAAUACAGCCAUGGAUUUGCUCCUGAGAGCACAACAAGCUUGUCCUGGGUAUAGUGACUUGUAGCUCUUUUCCAAAUGAUCCAGCUCUAGGAAAAGAAAAUAUAAGGGUCUUGCACUGAUGGGAUCUCAGUGAUUUGAGGAUUAGGCUGUACUUAAUGGCUCUGCUAAUUGAGUGGAAAGACCACCUCUGCUCUGCUUCUGCUCCUCCUGUUCUUUCUAGGACCAUAAAGGAGGAGGUGAGGGCACAGCCUACCUCCUGCAUGCGGGCAAGUGAAAGGGGAGGAGAGCACCCUGUUUUGCUUGUGUCUGCCACAGCCUGGACACCAGCAGUGUGGAGCUCGCCUUGUCCUUCCCCCUCCCCAAACCCAGCAAACUAGGCAAUAUUUCUCAGACACUUUCUGCCCACCUAGAUUUAGGAAAUCUACAGAGGAAUAAAUAACACAAAAAGAGCUCAACAGGUCUGAAUUCAAGGGAUUUCCAGCUUUCCCCAACCCCAAUUUCUGAAGCUGAGACUUCAUCCCAGUUCAUUACAUGCUUAAAGCAGAGAUCAGCUCUUCCUUCCUGUUCAUGCAGCUCUGGGAAAACUGGUUGUACUUUUGUUCAGAGAAGAAUAAACAGCAACCACUGACAUGGUCAGCUUGUUUCUACCAUCAUCACUGAUCUCGAUCUGUCAACUGCUUUUGCUGCUUAUUUGUUGGCAAAGACACUCAAACCAAAGGUCCUUUGGGAGACACAAAUACAAUAGAAGGAAACAUUUGCCUGAUGUCUGAUGUUACCGCAAAGAGCUGGCCAGUGCACAUAAAAAUAUUGGACUUAGGAUGGAAAAUUUAAUGGGAAAAUUUCAGGAACAGGACUUGUACUUCUCAGUGCCUAUCUGCUCCCUGACAUAUGCCUUUUUCAGCACAGUGGUACCUCUACAGCUGAAAGGCUUUGGGGCUCAGCUAGCCAGGGUACUAGUCAUAGCACCUCCCCUAGUCGUUCCCUGUUUUCUAUUCCCAAUCCCAUAGUGUUGUUCAGACUUCCAGACAGCUGUUCCCAUUUGAGUAGUCCUGAUGUGGAGUACAAUUUAAACCCAAGACACCAACCAUCUAAUCCUUCAGGAAGUUCUUCCUUAGAUGCAUUUUGGGUCUUCCCUCUUGCACCAGAAACACCCUAAUUCAGACACAAGCUUCAACUGAUCUGUGCUGCUGCUGCUUAUCCUCAAGAGAGUUCCUGUCUGUGUGUGAAAUGAAAGCUAGUUAUAAAAGAAGAGAAAAAUCUACCCCAAGUGGAUUCCCUGGGUUUGGACACGAGGCUGUGGGGCUGUCUUGAACCCCAGGAGAUUAAUUUCUGGUUAUGCAAACAAGCUCUGGAUGGAAAAUGUUGCCUGCUGAGGCUGGCUACUCCCACCACAACUAAUGUGUAGAAACUUGGUGUAGGUGGAGGUUGUGUCUCUGGGAAGUAUUGUGAUGGACCACUGUCAGUGCAGGAAACCUACAAAAAGGGGCAUGGUCAGAGGUCAGUCAGGCUGUUUUCAGUGGAUUUACUGCAGAUUUAGUAACAUUUCAUUGUUAUUUUAUAUGUAUUCAGCUUUACUGAUUAGUCAUCCAAGCAAAGGGGUUUGCAAUGGAAGCUACUGCAGAUUAGGAGGACACUGUAUAUGAGCACCAGCAGAGCUCACGCCACAGCAGCACCAAGCACAGGGUUGUGUAAUUUCAAAGUGAGAGUACCUGUCUCUCACCCUCUGUUGCACUAACCUGAGUUUAUUUUGCCAGUGGAACUCCUACAGAAAAGACAUGUAUGGCUGUUUUUGAAGUGGAAAGACAAAAGAACUUGUUGAUAGCACAAGGACAAAGCGACAAACACAUUAGAAAAGGUGGGCAAGAAGUGUUUAAACACAGGUUCAGCAACACAUAUUCAGAUGGGAAGAAGACAUUCUGCAAUAAACACAGGUAAGACAAGCUGUUCUGGAAGGGAGGUUGAGAUAGUGGGGGGAUUGAGAGUUGAGGGUAACAGCACAGACACAGAGUUUUUUCCCGAGGUUUGGAACUAAGGGAGAGAAAUUUAGUAUAGGGAAAACCAGUAAUAUAGAGCUACCAGUCUCCUCCAGGCCAGUAUUGCCACAAAAUGCUGUUUGGAAACUAGAUAGAUAUGAGAAGCUUUCUCAAAUACUGGGAAUCAGGAAAGAGAUGGUCACAAAGCUAACUUGAAAUGAUGCUGUUCAAAUGGCAGGAGGUUACAGAGUUGGAAAUCUGGAGUCUAAAUAUAUGGAUAACAGGACAGCACAGUGUGCAAAAAGCACAUAAAAGAACACUGCAAACAAGCUUAAAAAAGACUUGGUAAUGUACUGAUCUCAGAGUCCAGAGGUGUCACUACAAAAUAACGAAGUGUGGCCUCACUUUUCCUAACUUGAGAACACACAUGCAAAUUACUCCA